AUGGACAUCGACCCUUCCUCGGUCUCCCACGCCGACGGCGGGGGCGACCUGUGGCCGUUCGACUCGCUCACCACGUCCCUCUUCUUCUCCUCCGUCUCCUCCUCCCCGCCGCUCCACCCGCUGCCCGUCGCUUCCUCCUCGUGGCUCACGCCGCCGUCUCCGCUCUGGCUCUUCGAGGACCGCCAGAUGAUGCCGAUCGAGGUGGGCCCUGCGCCCGCCGCGGCGCCGGACAAUACUGCCGCCGUCGCAGAGGAGGCCCAGCGAGCACGCUCCGGGAAUUCGGACACGCCAAUUAAGAAGACCGAACGUCUCAACAACAAAUGGCAAUUUAACCUAGCUCUGCAUGACGAUAGCACGAACAGCUCAUGCUUGUUCAAGGAGAAGCUGACUCAUGCUCUCAGGUACUUCAAGGAGUCAACAGAUCAACACCUGUUGGUCCAGGUUUGGGCGCCGGUUAAGAGUGGCGAUCGCUAUGUGCUUACUACAUCAGGACAACCCUUUGUACUUGACCACCAGAGCAUUGGGCUGCUUCAGUACAGGGCUGUAUCCAUGAUGUACAUGUUCUCAGUAGAUGGAGAUAAUGCUGGGGAGCUUGGGUUACCUGGACGUGUCUACAAGCAAAAAGUGCCUGAGUGGACACCAAAUGUGCAGUAUUAUAGCAGCACUGAGUACCCACGGCUUAACCAUGCCAUCAGUUACAAUGUUCAUGGUACCGUUGCCUUGCCUGUUUUUGAUCCCUCUGUUCAAUCAUGUAUUGCUGUCGUCGAACUUAUAAUGACAUCGAAGAAGAUAAACUAUGCCGAUGAGGUUGAUAAAGUCUGCAAAGCUCUUGAGGCAGUAAAUCUUAAAAGCACUGAGAUAUUGGAGCAUCCAAAUGUCCAGAUUUGCAAUGAAGGCCGUCAAUCUGCCCUGGUGGAGAUACUGGAGAUCCUGACAGUUGUAUGUGAAGAGCACAAGCUUCCAUUAGCACAAACAUGGGUUCCUUGCAAAUAUCGAAGUGUGUUGGCGCAUGGUGGUGGUGUUAAGAAAAGUUGCUUGAGCUUUGAUGGAAGUUGCAUGGGGGAAGUCUGCAUGUCAACCAGUGAUGUGGCAUUUCAUGUGAUUGAUGCUCAUAUGUGGGGAUUCCGAGAUGCCUGUGUAGAACACCAUCUACAGAAGGGACAGGGAGUUUCUGGCAAGGCGUUUAUCUAUCACAGACCUUGCUUUUCAAAAGAUAUCAGUCAGUUUUGUAAGCUGGAGUACCCCCUUGUGCACUAUGCUCGUAUGUUUGGAUUGGCUGGCUGCUUUGCUAUAUGUUUACAAAGUCCUUAUACUGGUGAUGAUUAUUAUAUGCUAGAGUUUUUCCUGCCACCCAGUUGUAAAGAGGAAGAUGAUCAAAAUGCCUUGUUGGAGUCUAUAUUAGGUCUGAUCAAUCAGUGUCUCCGUAAUCUGAAGGUAGCUGGUAAUGGAGAAUCCAACAAAGCUUCUCUUCAACUUAGUAAUGUCAUAAUGAUUGAAAGUGAAGAUUUCAAGACAAAUGUGCAUUUUGAGAACUCUGAAGGUUUUCGUGAAUCGCCCGAAGGUGAAACACAUGGAGGAGCCCACGAGUUCGAUAAAGCGAAUAGUAAAGUAUCAGAGGGACAUUUGUUGGCUGAUGAUAACUCUCAUAACAAUGGCGUAUCUGUCUCCAGGCCAAAUGGUAGCGCGGCUUCUGAUUCUUCAUUGCUUCACAAAAAUGGCAAACCCCCUGAAAGGAGACGGGGGAAAGCUGAAAAAACAAUCAGCUUAGAAGUUCUUCAGCAAUAUUUUUCUGGAAGUCUGAAAAAUGCAGCAAAAAGCCUUGGUGUGUGCCCCACAACCAUGAAGCGCAUCUGCAGGCAACAUGGGAUUUCUCGUUGGCCAUCCCGAAAAAUUAACAAGGUCAACCGGUCUCUCUCGAAGUUAAAGCAAGUAAUUGAGUCUGUUCAAGGCUCAGACGCGGCAUUUAACCUGACAUCUAUCACAGGCCCUCUCCCUACUAUUCCUGUUGGCCCUUCAUCAGAUUCUUUCAAUAAAGAGAAAGCAAGUGAAAGUAAAGCAGAACAUUCAAAUCGUGCUGUUGAUGGUGACAGAGAUUCAUCUUUACAGAAGUCACAGGAAACUGGUAGCCACUUUGGUGCACUCAUGUCCCAGCAAGGAUUUGCAGACACUGGGAACAAUGUUCAACUUGAAGCAGACAAAGCUUCUCUCUCGAGAAGCUCAUCGGGAGAAGGCAGCAUAAAUUCACGUACUUCGGAGGGCUCAUGUCAGGGAAGUCCCGCAAACCAGACGUUUGUUUGCCAGCCUAUUGCUUCAAUGUUCUUGGAACCACAAGAACCACAACUGAAUCCGGAAGGGUUCACAAAAGAACCUUUCCAAGAACCAGAGCUACCACUUUCCAGGAUGCUCAUAGAGGAUUCUGGUAGUUCCAAGGAUUUGAAGAAUCUCUUUGGUUCAGCAAUUGGCCAACCAAUGUUAGCCCCUCCCAGCAAUUUUGGGCCAAUGCGAAAUUCGGGGACUGUGACGAUAAAGGCGAGCUUUAAGGAAGACAUUGUAAGGUUCCGUUUCCCGUGUUCUAGCAGCGUUAUGGCUUUGAAAGAUGAGGUUGCCAAAAGGCUGAGGAUGGAUGCUGGCAUGUUUGAUAUCAAGUACCUUGACGAUGAUCACGAGUGGGUGAAGUUGGCGUGCAAUGCGGACUUGGAAGAAUGCAUAGAAAUCUCCCGGCAUUCUGGUACCCAUGUCAUCAGGCUGUUGGUUAGCGACGUUGCGGCCCACAUUGGUAGUUCUUGUGGAAGCUCCGGUUGA
RNAcentral lists this ribosomal RNA (2802 nucleotides) under Triticum aestivum (bread wheat). RNAcentral describes it as "partial small subunit ribosomal RNA". The record is from RNAcentral. Lineage: Eukaryota; Viridiplantae; Streptophyta; Magnoliopsida; Poales; Poaceae.